Molecule: ribosomal RNA, 460 nt
Filed under: uncultured bacterium
Lineage: Bacteria
Description: partial 16S ribosomal RNA
Rfam family: Bacterial small subunit ribosomal RNA
Source: RNAcentral
CCAGACUCCUACGGGAGGCAGCAGUGGGGAAUAUUGCACAAUGGGGGGAACCCUGAUGCAGCGACGCCGCGUGGGUGAAGGAGCACCUCGGUGCGUAAAGCCCUAUCGGCAGGGAGGAAAAGCGAACAGGUUCGCCUGGACGGUACCUGACUAAGAAGCCCCGGCUAACUACGUGCCAGCAGCCGCGGUAAUACGUAGGGAGCAAGCGUUAUCCGGAAUUAUUGGGUAUAAAGGGUGCGUAGACGGGAGUCUAAGUUAGUUGUGAAAUCCCUCGGCUCAACUGAGGAACUGCAACUAAAACUGGACAUCUUGAGUGCAGGAGAGGAAAGUGGAAUUCCUAGUGUAGCGGUGAAAUGCGUAGAUACUAGGAGGAACACCAGUGGCGAAGGCGACUUUCUGGACUGUAACUGACGUUGAGGCACGAAAGUGUGGGGAGCAAACAGGAUUAGAUACCCGAGUA